UUGGAGGGCAAGUCUGGUGCCAGCAGCCGCGGUAAUUCCAGCUCCAAUAGCGUAUAUUAAAGUUGUUGCAGUUAAAAAGCUCGUAGUUGAAUUUCGAGAUCAAAUUGUUGGUCGUGCCUCGGUACGUACUGGCAUUAUUGAUUUCUCCCUUCUGAAGAACCUUGAUGUCAUUAAUUCGGUGUCUUGGGGAAUCAGGACCGUUACUUUGAAAAAAUUAGAGUGUUUAAAGCAGGCUCACGCUUGAAUACAUUAGCAUGGAAUAAUGAAAUAGGACGUUUGAUUCUAUUUUGUUGGUUUCUAGGAUCGACGUAAUGAUUAAUAGGGAUAGUUGGGGGCAUUAGUAUUCAAUUGUCAGAGGUGAAAUUCUUGGAUUUAUUGAAGACUAACUACUGCGAAAGCAUUUGCCAAGGAUGUUUUCAUUAAUCAAGAACGAAAGUUAGGGGAUCGAAGACGAUCAGAUACCGUCGUAGUCUUAACCAUAAACUAUGCCGACUAGGGAUCGGAUGAUGUUAAUUUUUUAAUGACUCAUUCGGCGCCUUACGGGAAACCAAAGUGUUUGGGUUC
RNAcentral lists this ribosomal RNA (564 nucleotides) under uncultured Glomeromycotina. Its description in RNAcentral is "SSU rRNA". It matches the Rfam family "Eukaryotic small subunit ribosomal RNA", at positions 548 to 1114 of the family's 1831-position model. Lineage: Eukaryota; Fungi; Glomeromycota. The record is from RNAcentral.